Molecule: ribosomal RNA, 281 nt
Filed under: Ruminococcus bromii
Lineage: Bacteria; Bacillati; Bacillota; Clostridia; Eubacteriales; Oscillospiraceae
Description: partial 16S ribosomal RNA
Rfam family: Bacterial small subunit ribosomal RNA
Source: RNAcentral
UAUGGUAAUUGGUGCCACGCCGCGGUCAUACGUAGGGAGCAAGCGUUGUCCGGAUUUACUGGGUGUAAAGGGUGCGUAGGCGGCUUUGCAAGUCAGAUGUGAAAUCUAUGGGCUCAACCCAUAAACUGCAUUUGAAACUGUAGAGCUUGAGUGAAGUAGAGGCAGGCGGAAUUCCCCGUGUAGCGGUGAAAUGCGUAGAGAUGGGGAGGAACACCAGUGGCGAAGGCGGCCUGCUGGGCUUUAACUGACGCUGAGGCACGAAAGCGUGGGUAGCAAACAGG